AAAAAUACUAAAGGUCCUGCAUCAUUUUUGGUUGAAAAACUAUUUAUAAGUGAUUCUUGGUUUUCACUUAAAUGAGAUACUAAUUAUCUGGGGUUUAAGGAUGGUGCAAGGAAGUUGAAUAUGACUGUUUGACCUGCUGAUCUACUCACUCUUUUGCUAUUGCUAAAGUACUCAUCAUUUCUUGUUUAUUUUGACCUCCAGUUACUCCUUGGCCCCUAAUGCUAUGUGAGGUGCAAAUCUGAAACAUGUAAAUAUGUUGGAGAUUUGAGUUUUGCUGAAUAUUAAUUUAUACGUUUAGAUUAUUUCCAUGUCCAUGUAUUAAUUUCAAUUCUUUUAUGUAUUUUACAUUUUGUUGUUCUUGUAUUUCUCGUCAAGUUAUAGUCUAGUCUCUUAGCCUCUUAUGUUGGUUUACAAUUUGGGCUGAGAGUUAGGUGUUUGAACAUUUAGAAGGUCCUAGUGUGCUGCAGUGCAUGCCUGAGUCAGUUAUGGAAUCCUUUGUUGGUUUAAUUUAAGUUUAUGUCAUCUUUAGAGUUAUAAUUCAAGAAAGGACUAUGUUUUUGAUAAUUAAUGUAAAUUUAAACUAUUUUAGCACUGAUUAGGAUAGUUUUAUACAUGAAUGUGUCAUAAUUAGUGAGUAAUUUUGAAUCCCAAGUGUAUAUCGACAGUAG
This 668-nucleotide long non-coding RNA is filed under the name Nicotiana benthamiana. Its description in RNAcentral is "long non-coding RNA (NBEN_LNC018255)". Lineage: Eukaryota; Viridiplantae; Streptophyta; Magnoliopsida; Solanales; Solanaceae. The record is from RNAcentral.